This 430-nucleotide ribosomal RNA is filed under the name Bacillota bacterium. Its description in RNAcentral is "Firmicutes bacterium partial 16S ribosomal RNA". It matches the Rfam family "Bacterial small subunit ribosomal RNA", at positions 355 to 776 of the family's 1533-position model. The record is from RNAcentral. Lineage: Bacteria; Bacillati; Bacillota.
UGGGGAAUAUUGGACAAUGGGCGCAAGCCUGAUCCAGCCAUGCCGCGUGUGUGAAGAAGGCCUUUUGGUUGUAAAGCACUUUAAGCGAGGAGGAGGCUACUUGGAUUAAUACUCUAGGAUAGUGGACGUUACUCGCAGAAUAAGCACCGGCUAACUCUGUGCCAGCAGCCGCGGUAAUACAGAGGGUGCGAGCGUUAAUCGGAUUUACUGGGCGUAAAGCGUGCGUAGGCGGCUUCUUAAGUCGGAUGUGAAAUCCCUGAGCUUAACUUAGGAAUUGCAUUCGAUACUGGGAAGCUAGAGUAUGGUAGAGGAUGGUAGAAUUCCAGGUGUAGCGGUGAAAUGCGUAGAGAUCUGGAGGAAUACCGAUGGCGAAGGCAGCCAUCUGGCCUAAUACUGACGCUGAGGUACGAAAGCAUGGGGAGCAAACAGG